GAUGAACGCUGGCGGCGUGCCUAAUACAUGCAAGUCGAGCGAACGGACGAGAAGCUUGCUCCUCUGAUGUUAGCGGCGGACGGGUGAGUAACACGUGGAUAACCUACCUAUAAGACUGGGAUAACUUCGGGAAACCGGAGCUAAUACCGGAUAAUAUGUUGAACCGCAUGGUUCAAAAGUGAAAGACGGUUUUGCUGUCACUUAUAGAUGGAUCCGCGCUGCAUUAGCUAGUUGGUAAGGUAACGGCUUACCAAGGCAACGAUGCGUAGCCGACCUGAGAGGGUGAUCGGCCACACUGGAACUGAGACACGGUCCAGACUCCUACGGGAGGCAGCAGUAGGGAAUCUUGCGCAAUGGGCGAAAGCCUGACGGAGCAACGCCGCGUGAGUGAUGAAGGUCUUCGGAUCGUAAAGCUCUGUUAUUAGGGAAGAACAUAUGUGUAAGUAACUGUGCACGUCUUGACGGUACCUAAUCAGAAAGCCACGGCUAACUACGUG
Molecule: ribosomal RNA, 497 nt
Filed under: uncultured bacterium
Lineage: Bacteria
Description: partial 16S ribosomal RNA
Rfam family: Bacterial small subunit ribosomal RNA
Source: RNAcentral